This is a non-coding RNA of Xenorhabdus nematophila ATCC 19061, 317 nucleotides long. Lineage: Bacteria; Pseudomonadati; Pseudomonadota; Gammaproteobacteria; Enterobacterales; Morganellaceae. The record is from Rfam.
AAUCAUUGUCUAUAAUCAUAGAAAGUGAUAACUCUUAAAUAUACGUCAAGCAUACGAGUUAAAACGAACAACAUUAUGAACAUUUCUGUCCUAGUGAUUAGCCUAAUUAUUGUGAGUGUGGUGGUGAUUAUUAUCCCACCGUGCGGGGCUGCACUUGGACGAAGGAAGGCUUAGACAGAAAGAUAGCCAGAUUUCACAAAAACCCCCCGCACCGAAAGGCGCGGGGGGUUUUUUUUGGGGGCUCAUUUGCCACAGAGACACAAAUAUAACAAAGCAUCGCGGCCACUAAUAAUCGCAGGGUAAAUAUCACGGGAGAU